GCCAGUAUGGUGGUGCAUGCCUGUAGUUCCUGCUCUCUGGAAGCUGAGGCAGGAGUAUCACCUGAGAUCAGUCCCUCUCGACUGCAGUGGGCUAUGUCCAUCAAAGGUUUGCACUAAGUUCAACAGUAAUACGGUGACCUUCUUGGAGUGGUGGACAGGGAGGGAUGCCCAAGUUUGCCCAAGUUUGCCCAAGGAGGGGUGAACUGGCCCAAGUCAAAAACCAAACAGGUCAAAACACUCAUGCUGAUCAGUGGUGGUAUCAUGUCUGUGAGUAGCCACUGUGCUUCAGCCUGAGCAAUAUAGCCAGAGGCUUUCUUAU
RNAcentral lists this signal recognition particle RNA (319 nucleotides) under Otolemur garnettii (small-eared galago). RNAcentral's name for it is "Metazoan signal recognition particle RNA". It matches the Rfam family "Metazoan signal recognition particle RNA". Rfam says of the family: The signal recognition particle (SRP) is a universally conserved ribonucleoprotein. Lineage: Eukaryota; Metazoa; Chordata; Mammalia; Primates; Galagidae. The record is from Rfam by way of RNAcentral.